This 731-nucleotide ribosomal RNA is filed under the name uncultured bacterium. RNAcentral describes it as "bacterial SSU rRNA". It matches the Rfam family "Bacterial small subunit ribosomal RNA", at positions 131 to 878 of the family's 1533-position model. The record is from RNAcentral.
CCAGACAGGGGAAUAACACACCGAAAGGUGUACUAAUACCGCAUAAGACCACGGAAUCACAUGGUUCUGGGGUAAAAGAUUUAUCGGUUUGGGGUGGGCUCGCGUCCGAUUAGGUAGUUGGUGAGGUAACGGCCCACCAAGCCGACGAUCGGUAGCCGACCUGAGAGGGUGAUCGGCCACAUUGGGACUGAGACACGGCCCAAACUCCUACGGGAGGCAGCAGUGGGGAAUAUUGGGCAAUGGAGGAAACUCUGACCCAGCAACGCCGCGUGGAGGAAGAAGGUUUUCGGAUCGUAAACUCCUGUCCUUGGAGACGAGUAGAAGACGGUAUCCAAGGAGGAAGCCCCGGCUAACUACGUGCCAGCAGCCGCGGUAAUACGUAGGGGGCAAGCGUUGUCCGGAAUAAUUGGGCGUAAAGGGCGCGUAGGCGGCUCGGUAAGUCUGGAGUGAAAGUCCUGCUUUUAAGGUGGGAAUUGCUUUGGAUACUGUCGGGCUUGAGUGCAGGAGAGGUUAGUGGAAUUCCCAGUGUAGCGGUGAAAUGCGUAGAGAUUGGGAGGAACACCAGUGGCGAAGGCGACUAACUGGACUGUAACUGACGCUGAGGCGCGAAAGUGUGGGGAGCAAACAGGAUUAGAUACCCUGGUAGUCCACACUGUAAACGAUGAAUGCUAGGUGUAGGGGGUAUCGACCCCUUCUGUGCCGCAGUCAACACAAUAAGCAUUCGUCCGGGG